UACGGAGGGUGCAAGCGUUGUCCGGAUUUAUUGGGUUUAAAGGGUGCGUAGGCGGCUUUGUAAGUCAGCGGUGAAAGUUUCCGGCUCAACCGGGGGACUGCCGUUGAUACUGCUGGGCUUGAGUGCCGAUGGGGUACAUGGAAUUUAUGGUGUAGCGGUGAAAUGCAUAGAUACCAUAAGGAACACCGAUAGCGAAGGCAUUGUACUUAUCGGCAACUGACGCUGAGGCACGAAAGCGCGGGUAGCGAACAGG
This 253-nucleotide unclassified non-coding RNA is filed under the name uncultured Cyclobacteriaceae bacterium. RNAcentral's name for it is "contains 16S-23S intergenic spacer region". It matches the Rfam family "Bacterial small subunit ribosomal RNA", at positions 524 to 776 of the family's 1533-position model. Lineage: Bacteria; Pseudomonadati; Bacteroidota; Cytophagia; Cytophagales; Cyclobacteriaceae. The record is from RNAcentral.